Molecule: long non-coding RNA, 2302 nt
Filed under: Gallus gallus (chicken)
Lineage: Eukaryota; Metazoa; Chordata; Aves; Galliformes; Phasianidae
Description: lncRNA (ENSGALG00010026368.1)
Source: RNAcentral
CACAAACAGAGCGUCUCCUAUAAAUAUAUCAGUAAUGACCAUAAAAAGGAAAGCAGCCUAAACAAAAACCACGUCCAGGCGCUGAAUUCGGGUAUUGCGCUCUUGAAAGAAGCGAGCCCGCACCGGGCAGCUCUUGUGCCAGCCAGAGCCGUGCAGAACACGUGUGCCAUUUCACCGCUUAAAAACACCCAUCUGACAACCCAAACACGGCCUUCUUUCCUCCUUUUCCCACCAACAACCAAGCAGCGUGUUACCUUCAAGUAAUAAUGAGUAGCGCUUAUUUCAAUAGAUCUCUAUUCCUACAAAACGCAAUCCCCCUCAUUUAAGCCUUUGACUGGAAGGAGGAAAAAACAAGCCAGACUUUGCCCUGGAUCAGGGAAUUUGAGAGACGUAUCCAAGCCCGAAUCAGCCACAUACAAGUCCUAGGACAAGGAGUUAUGCAAAAAAAAAAUCACCUUGGAGUAAAGCAGACUAAGCUGAGAAUCCGAUGUACUGCAGAAAUUCUCUCCGCUUUGUGCAAAGAGUGGCAUGAUCAAAAGCACAAACUGAGCACAUGAGAGCAAGAAGCUCUAACGCAGAACCUAACCGUGGACCUCAGAUAUGAAGUAUAAGGAGUCUUCUCUCAGUGUGGAAGACCUGAAAAGGACUAAGUGACCUUUAAGGAUCUCUUCCAACUCAAAGGACUCUAUGAUUUCCUGUCUCUUAUCUCAGGACCUCUCAAUGCUCAUUUUUGCUUAUUUGCUCAUUUUUAUGAUGACAUAACUUGGACAAAAUGUGUUGAAAUGUUAUUUUCAAAACCUCCUUGACCAGUUGAGGACUAUUUCUUUCCAACAGCUUCAAACAAAGAGCAUCUACUCCUACAUCCCCUCCUAUACCCAAAGGGAACAAAGCAGGAGGCAUUUCACUAAUGCAAAGGAUUAUAUCAAAACCAGUGACUCUCCACUAAAUUCCACUUACAGAAACAUAGUGCAUCCCACGUGAUGAUCGCUUCCGCACUGGCAGGGGCCCACAAGCACUACUCUUGGCUCCACCUGAGACCAUUCAAUCCCUAUGCUGAGAGCACCACCCAAAUGCAACCCAAGCUGUGCCAGGCCCAGAGCCAUGAGCACCUCCUUGGGGAGCUCAUCGCAGUUACACGUAGAAUGGAACCUUGAACUGGAAAGGCAGUAACACACAUGAGCAAGUAGUGAUGGCAGAGCAACCAAGAGAGAAUGGCAUCUGCCGGGGCUGACCCCCAGCCGUCAGGGCAGGGAGCCUGAGACAGCAUGCAGGGAGGGCAGCAUCUCUGCCUGGGGAUGAGGUUCCAAGCAGAGCUGGGACCAGGACAGAGAUACCACGAGGAAGGCAGCAUUACUUAAGGGAGAAGACGACUGUCGUUCGUGCGCCCCCCUUUAGAUGCUGAAAGACCACUAUCAUAUCUCCCCGGAACCUUCUCCAGGCUGAACAGCCCCAGCUCUCUCAGAUUGUCCUCAGAGGAGAGGUGUUCCAUCCCUUGGAUGUUUUUUGUGUCCCUCCUCUGGACCUGCUCCAACAGCUCCAUGUCUCUCCUGUACUGAGGACUCCACAUCUGCACGCAGUACUCCAGUGCGAGGCUGAGUUGUCCUAGUGAAGAACAGUGAGGAUGUUUUGCACUACAGAGACAAGUACAAACUUCGCUGUUAGUCAAGGGAUGGGAAGCUCCACCAGUCGAAGGAACCUACAGCCCUGCAAGCACACCUCGCCUUGAUUGCUGAUCUCAGAUCUGCAAUUGCAUAAUUACCGAACUGAGAGAAAAUUACUUUUUGCUUGAGAGUGCUGGGACAGCUCUGAAUCCAUGAAUGACUCCCCUCAGGCACUGGUGUUUAAUUUAUGAGCUAUUUAUCUCCUUGCACACACCCCGGCACAAACAAUUAUACUUAGUAAUUUGUUGAUCUUAUCAAGGCUGUUUGAUGUUACUGUUGCUACCUCCAAUAACGCUGUGCUUUGAAACUUAAGCAGGGUUUAGAACCAAACUCGGCUACUUUGCACACAAUUCACAUUUCAGAAGUUUAACCCUUUGGCAGCUAAACGGCUUUCCACACCAUCUGUAAAGGUGAGCAAAAGUUCCAUCUGCUGCAGCCCAGCUGGCAGUGCAGCCCCUCGGCAGCAGCGGGCGCCCUUCGGCCAGGGGCAGUUCUGGACAACAGCCUCCCUGACUGCCAAAAAGGAGGACUGCAUUGACCUUUAAACUGUUGCACGUUUACCAUCAACAGAACUCAAUGGAUGCCUUUGUACGCCUCACCCUUGUCCCUGGUUCUAAGGAUCAGGAACCAAACUUGUGGCU